Halichondria panicea is the source of this 1320-nucleotide long non-coding RNA. RefSeq lists it as uncharacterized. NCBI's taxonomy places the organism in Eukaryota, Metazoa, Porifera, Demospongiae, Suberitida, Halichondriidae. The record is from RefSeq and is a predicted model, not a curated record. The transcript has 5 exons.
UAAGUACCAUGUUAGAUGUGAUGAUCACCCUCUCUCCAUUUUGUAUCACGUAUCAGCACUUUUGUGAGCUAACCAAUGGGACAAGAGUGAAUAUGGAGCUUGUCGAUCUCUAUCUUCAAAUGCUGUCAAAAAUGCCACAAGUAAAGCCGAACACACUUUGGACUGCUCCUUGCACUGCUUUUCUGUGGGUAGAAGAAGACAUGAAACUGGUUGAAGAUAUGCUUGACUCAGUGAAUGUAUGUUAUAAUUAUAUACCAUGCAUGUCCCAGGUGGGUUUAUUUUUAUUUUUAUAUAAUUAUAUAGGAAUGAAGUAAACUGGUUGGCGGUCUAUAUAGGGUUAUUGUAGAGACAACGAGCUGGGAACGAGGCUGUAUACGUUUACAUGCAUGCAUGCAUAAUAGCCUCGAUCCCAGGCCGAGUUUUCGCUUUUAUAACGGUUAGGCGAACAACUGGGCCUGGUACUAGUUGUCUGCGCAUGCGUCAGUCGUUCGUCAGAUUCUGACGAAUGGAUAUUCUCGUUCACUUUGGUGACAUUUAUAUUUGUGUACUAUCGUGUACUAGAAGUCAGUUCCCGUUUUAUCAUUAUUGGAAUCGAUUGGAAUGGCUCUUAGCUGAAGCUUCUCUCUUCUCUGAAGCUUAUUCUGAAGACUGAACAACAAGGGAAGAGGUAUAAAGCUUUGUCAAGCUUGUUAAGGUCAGAUAUUUUUGUGUGGGCCCUAUGGCCGGCUAGGCUAUGCUAUCAAGUCUUGUUCAUGUUUGGCAAGAAUGUAGGUAGACUAUAGUUUCAUCAUUAAUAUGGUGGAUCAAGUGAAGAGUGUGAGCUAGAGAACUUGGUGCUGCCAUCAUCAGCUCGUCGACAAUGACACUAUAACCGAGAAAUUUAAUAUGUAUAGAUCUACACGUAUUUAAAAUGUCUACUUCUCUGUACAGGAGCAAUGGCUAAUAUCCAGCUAUCCCAACAGUGCUCCUCUUGGCUAUACUAACGGACGAGACUGGACAGUUUGAGACACAGGACUGGAGUAUGACCUGCUCAUUCGAGCGUUGCUGGGUAGCUCAGAGACAUCAAGAGAAUCUACGUUUUCUCAAGUAAUGAGUUACGAGUUGGGGCCUAGAAUCAGAGAAGUCCAGCAGCCUGCUAAAUCUUUUUGAAACGUAAUUUGAAGGCAUUCAAUCAUCCUGAAGUUGCCCUGGGUCACUGUAAUUGUGCUGCAGCACAACUGGCAACUCCCCAGGCCUUUGUGAAGCAGCUCCCUAUGUGCAUCUUUUGUGUACUCACUCUGUGCAUUUUCUGUGUGCAAAUUUCUAUUAUUGAUUUAUUAA